UGUCGUUACUCCAUUUUUCGAUUGGUGUGUAGAAUUGUUACAUGAGAAUAAUUUAAGUGCUUUACAUCACAUUUAAAUUAGAAAGAGAAGAUCAAAAACAGUAAAAAACAAAAAUAUGUGGUGCUUCGUGACAGCACUAAUCGGACAUUUUGUGACUCUAAACAUUCGAAUGGUAAUGUAUCGUAUUUGCGAGACAAUUGAGUCAUAAGUCAACUGACUCACCUGACAUUUUGGGACUUGAUGUUUGCUUGCUCGUUGACGUAUUGAUCCCAGGCGCGUUGUUUGUUCUUUUUGUUAGCGGCUAAACUAGGCUAGGCUAACAAAGCAGGCCUCGAAGUUUGAACGUGCACCCAAACGACUCGAAGCAGAAGCGAGAUUGAACAGAUUCUUGCCCAAAAAUAUCUGACACUAGAGAUGGGAUGCUCGAGCCUUCCUGCUCGAAUCUGAUUCGAGCAAAUGAAGUAGAGGUGUUGUCAUUGUCAUUACCCGAUCGUGACGGGUGCAUCGAUUGUGACGGUUUGCUACUGCGCACGCGUAGAUCAACGCCAUUUUCUCCCGAGGGAUGACGGGAGAUAUAGAUUUAUGCGUUAGGCUCGGACAUUGAGGGGUUUUUAUGCGUGUGUGUACGCCACAAUCUUCGAAAGGUUCCUGCGAACUUUGACUCGAUGUCCUUGUCCUCGAUGCAUCCAACCUGUGUGGUAAGUUUAAGUCUUAGAGUGGCAUGAAAUGCUUGAAUUUGUCUUCAUAGAUACUUCGAGUGAUCCGAGAAGAUGAAUGUGGAUACCUAGCAUCUUCUAACGUACCUGGUCGACGGAACGCUUCCAACUACUCAAGUGGGGCGCCGUAAGGUUCGACGAAUGGUGCGUUAUUUCAUUGUUAAAGAUAAAAGCCCCCCCCCCCUAAAAUAUAUGUGCCUGGUCAUCAAGUCAAAGGAGAAGCAGACUAUCCUCAUGGAGUGUCACAAUAACUCUGGUACUGGGAACUCGAGCAGCGUCGAGGGCACCAGCAACAGAGCCAUUCCUAGCUUCUAUUGGCCAACAAUGAUUCAGGACAUCAAUGAAUGGGUCAAAGAACAUUGGGAGGUAUUGGGCAUGGAUUCAUUUGCAUUUCUAUUUAAAGGCAUGGGCAUAGAUUUGCCUUCUGGACAGAGAAAGUGUCCCCUCUCCUUCAGGGAACUCUACAGCCUGUCUUCAGGGUUCCAAAGGCAACCCCCCUCUAUAUCUUACUAAACUUCAAUCAGACAGUUGCCAGAAGUUUUGACUGCCAACAUACAUGAAGAAGUUGUCCUUCGGGAAGGUGACCGUGCUAUAGAGCCUACCCACGUACCACGUGCUCGCUGUAUGGUUCCGCCCACUUGUCCGUCAAAACAGUGUUAACCUGUUACGGCUACGUACAUUUCUCCUAUUUACGGCGUGUUUUUCUGCUCCUUAACAUUAAUAAUCAAAAUGGUGAAGGCGUGUGUGGCUGUUGGUUGCACUAACAGAGAAGAUGGAAGGAGAGACUUGGAAGUUUUACCGUAUUCCGAGGGAUCCAAAGAGGGGAGAGUGAAAUGGGCGGCUGCAAUUCGACGUGAAAACUGGACACCAAAAAAUCACCACAGACUAAGUAGUAGUCAUUUUAUAUCCGGUAAGAUGCAUUUAAUAUAUAUUUAGAGGGUUUUGGCCUGACAACCACAAUUAAGAUCAUUGCUAGGCUAAUCGCCGACAACAUACGACGUAGUACGACAUAGUUUCAAAUUCAAGAUGUUUGUGACUUCCCUUUCUUCCACCAUCGUUAUUUUUUGAAUAAUAUUUAGCUGGUACCAAGUGAAAGAAACUGGCCUCGUCUACGGGGCUGACAAAUAACCACAAUUAAGAUCAUUGCGAGGCUAAUCGCCGACAACAUACGACGUAGUACGACAUAGUUUCAAAUUCAAGAUGUUUCUGACUUCCCUUUCUUCCACCAUCGUUAUUUUUUGAAUAAUAUUUAGCUGGUACCAAGUGAAAGAAACUGGCCUCGUCUACGGAGCUGACAAAUAACCACAAUUAAGAUCAUUGCGAGGCUAAUCGCCGACAACAUACGACGUAGUACGACAUAGUUUCAAAUUCAAGAUGUUUGUGACUUCCCUUUCUUCCACCAUCGUUAUUUUUUUGAAUAAUAUUUAGCUGGUACCAAGUGAAAGAAACUGGCCUCGUCUACGGGGCUGACAAAUAACCACAAUUAAGAUCAUUGCUAGGCUAAUCGCCGACAACAUACACGUAUGUAUGUCGUGAGAGUGCUAUCGCUAAACCAUAUAAACAUUAAAAGCCUUAACUCCAUUGACAAACGACAUGAAAUACAUUAGACUUCACAGUGGAUGUUAGCAAUAACAAAAGAUUUUGAAUUGAAAAUUUCGUAACUCACCUUUCCAAGCACAAGAUAGAUUCCUGCCGAACGAGGACCUGCUUCACCCAACCAGCAACGAAGUAUUUAUAUGCUUCCAAGCUCUUGAAGUUUUUCAUAUUUUCGUGAGAAUAGGCUGAUUUAGUGUGGACAAGAUAAUUGUAAAUAUCUGCGUAGCAGAUGUCGGGCAGACAGGGCGAAGACAGUGGGUCGAAAAACAUCGAUUUGGGCAUCAAAUAUGGAUCUGGCGACUGUAUAGAACGAAGCUUUUCCUCAUAACGCCUUUUAUGCAACAGAUCCAGUGAGUUUGCGGCAUCAGAAAGCACCGGGUCUUCCAUGAAAUGCAUUUUAAAUUCCGCCAUCAAUUGAAAACAAUGCUAAUACAGAGUCAAAAUGACGGACAAGUGGGCGGAACCAUACAGCGAGCACGUGGUACGUGGGUAGGCUCUAUAUGCACAUUGGCUCUCGUGUGCUCCAGAAUCAGAGACCUUCGUUCUCCAGACUCCUUCAGAAGACGGGCACAUUUUAAAUGGCUUAACAGUGUCUGGACAUGGAGCAGGUUCUCUGCAGAAUUCAGGAGAGAGUAUUACAACAUGUACACAAUUGAGAUCUUCCAUAGGUAUGGGGAGCAGUUCAAACAAUCCCCACGAGGAUUUGUUGGAAGAGGGGAAAAGGGGUAAAGUAACGGCGUUUUACUGCGACGAGGAAACACCUACAGGAUACUGCAUUUGUUCCUGCUGUCCAAUGCAAUAAACUUUAAUGUUUUUGUUUGAGUUUGUUCUACACAUGUGCAUUAAAACUGUUUCAGCUUAAGGCAUUUUGUUUUCUUCAAUCUACGGCAUAAUCAUUGGAUGCUUUCCUAUGAAACUUUAUUUUUUUUCCCCCUAAAUUUAAUACAGCAAUAAAUGUCACCUUACAGCUUUUGUUUAUUCACCUUCUCUACUGUUUAUCCUCAAGAGUAUUUCUAAUUAUAUGUAUUUAUGCAUUUGUAGGUUUGUAUUAUGUAUUUCUGACGAUAGAAUGACUGCCACAUAGUUUUCAGUGUUAUCAUACAUUUUCUGUUCUUCUUCCCUAAAGCUGUCAGACUGUUGAACUCUUGCCAUGCCCCGUAGACCCCCCCCCCCCGUAUCACUGGACUCACUUUAUUCACUGAAAUCGCUUUAAAAGACAAUCACAUCACUGAUGAUCAUAUCUAGUAUAUACUGUACCUCACGCACAUCUUAGCCCCUAACAAGUCCAAGUCGGCCAUCUGCUAAAUUGUUUUAGUAGUUACAUAUUUUUAUAAUUCUGUUUGCCAUUUUUGUCUUUCUUGCUUGUUAUUUUUGAAUGAACCUUAGUUUUGCUCUUUUAUACUCACUCUGCAUUUAUAUUGGCUUUUAAAACAGGACCUGAGUUCUAAUUUCUCACCAUUAACAUGUAAAUGUGAACUGAUGAGACAAUAAAA
Molecule: RNA transcript, 3805 nt
Organism: Corythoichthys intestinalis (scribbled pipefish)
Lineage: Eukaryota; Metazoa; Chordata; Actinopteri; Syngnathiformes; Syngnathidae
Exons: 6
Source: RefSeq, a predicted model, not a curated record